RNAcentral lists this ribosomal RNA (506 nucleotides) under uncultured bacterium. Its description in RNAcentral is "partial 16S ribosomal RNA". It matches the Rfam family "Bacterial small subunit ribosomal RNA", at positions 29 to 523 of the family's 1533-position model. The record is from RNAcentral.
AGUGAACGUUGGCGGUAGGCCUAACACAUGCAAGUCGAACGGCAGCACAGGAGAGCUUGCUCUCUGGGUGGCGAGUGGCGGACGGGUGAGGAAUACAUCGGAAUCUACUUUUUCGUGGGGGAUAACGUAGGGAAACUUACGCUAAUACCGCAUACGACCUACGGGUGAAAGCAGGGGACCUUCGGGCCUUGCGCGAUUGAAUGAGCCGAUGUCGGAUUAGCUAGUUGGCGGGGUAAAGGCCCACCAAGGCGACGAUCCGUAGCUGGUCUGAGAGGAUGAUCAGCCCCACUGGAACGGAGACACGGUCCAGACUCCGACGGGAGGCAGCAGUGGGGAAUAUUGGACAAUGGGCGCAAGCCUGAUCCAGCCAUACCGCGUGGGUGAAGAAGGCCUUCGGGUUGUAAAGCCCUUUUGUUGGGAAAGAAAUCCAGCUGGCUAAUACCCGGUUGGGAUGACGGUACCCAAAGAAUAAGCACCGGCUAACUUCGUGCCAGCCGCCGCCGUAA